GUCAGGGUCCAUGCAUAGUGAUUCAAAUUCUGUGAGAUUUCUCGAGGUGGAGUUGGCCGGGAUGAUAGAUAAUAUGAAUUCUGAAAGCUGGCGAUGUCGAAAGCGUAACAUGAAGUGUGACCUUUUGGUCGGCGCUAGGUAUUCCAGGGGUUUGACUUUUCCAUUAUCAAGGGCAUGGCAAAUCCGGGGAAACUCUUGCCCCAAUAGGUGUUUGAAGGUUUUGGCUUCCAAGCCCGAAAGGGAAGGCCAUGUUGUGGACUAGGGGGAGCAGUGGGGAUGGUGAGGUGGUAAGGGAUAGUGGCGUGGCCAUAGUGCGCCAGACUUGCAUGGUUUCUUUGAUAAGGGGAUGGUGAGGUGGUAAGGGAUAGUGGUGUGGCCAUAGUUCGCCAGACUUGCAUGGUUUCUUUGAUAAGGGGAUGGGUGGCUGCCAGCUCUCCGUCCUG
Molecule: non-coding RNA, 443 nt
Organism: Pelobates cultripes (western spadefoot toad)
Lineage: Eukaryota; Metazoa; Chordata; Amphibia; Anura; Pelobatidae
Source: the annotation of a GenBank genome assembly